This 556-nucleotide ribosomal RNA is filed under the name uncultured bacterium. Its description in RNAcentral is "bacterial SSU rRNA". It matches the Rfam family "Bacterial small subunit ribosomal RNA", at positions 28 to 579 of the family's 1533-position model. The record is from RNAcentral.
AUUGAACGCUGGCGGCAUGCCUUACACAUGCAAGUCGAACGGCAGCACGGGAGCAAUCCUGGUGGCGAGUGGCGAACGGGUGAGUAAUAUAUCGGAACGUGCCCAGUAGUGGGGGAUAGCCCGGCGAAAGCCGGAUUAAUACCGCAUACGACCUGAGGGUGAAAGCGGGGGAUCGCAAGACCUCGCGCUAUUGGAGCGGCCGAUAUCAGAUUAGCUAGUUGGUGGGGUAAAGGCCUACCAAGGCUACGAUCUGUAGUUGGUCUGAGAGGACGACCAGCCACACUGGGACUGAGACACGGCCCAGACUCCUACGGGAGGCAGCAGUGGGGAAUUUUGGACAAUGGGCGCAAGCCUGAUCCAGCAAUGCCGCGUGCAGGAAGAAGGCCUUCGGGUUGUAAACUGCUUUUGUCAGGGAAGAAAUCUUCUGGGCUAAUACCCCGGGAGGAUGACGGUACCUGAAGAAUAAGCACCGGCUAACUACGUGCCAGCAGCCGCGGUAAUACGUAGGGUGCGAGCGUUAAUCGGAAUUACUGGGCGUAAAGCGUGCGCAGGCGGC